GUGGGGAAUUUUGGACAAUGGGCGCAAGCCUGAUCCAGCAAUGCCGCGUGUGUGAAGAAGGCCUUCGGGUUGUAAAGCACUUUUGUCCGGAAAGAAAUCUCCUGGGUUAAUACCUCGGGGGGAUGACGGUACCGGAAGAAUAAGCACCGGCUAACUACGUGCCAGCAGCCGCGGUAAUACGUAGGGUGCGAGCGUUAAUCGGAAUUACUGGGCGUAAAGCGUGCGCAGGCGGCUCUGCAAGACAGAUGUGAAAGCCACGGGCUCAACCUGGGAACUGCAUUUGUGACUGCAAGGCUAGAGUGUGUCAGAGGGAGGUGGAAUUCCGCGUGUAGCAGUGAAAUGCGUAGAGAUGCGGAGGAACACCGAUGGCGAAGGCAGCCUCCUGGGAUAACACUGACGCUCAGGCACGAAAGCGUGGGGAGCAAACAGGAUUAGAAACCCCGGUAGUCC
RNAcentral lists this ribosomal RNA (450 nucleotides) under uncultured bacterium. RNAcentral's name for it is "partial 16S ribosomal RNA". It matches the Rfam family "Bacterial small subunit ribosomal RNA", at positions 354 to 796 of the family's 1533-position model. The record is from RNAcentral.